This is a long non-coding RNA of Cornus florida, 1039 nucleotides long. RefSeq lists it as uncharacterized. The transcript has 2 exons. NCBI's taxonomy places the organism in Eukaryota, Viridiplantae, Streptophyta, Magnoliopsida, Cornales, Cornaceae. The record is from RefSeq and is a predicted model, not a curated record.
UUGCCAAAAGUCUUUGGCUUCACGUGGGCUAUUUGGAUAAAUUGAUUUGGUUAUUGUAUCUAUGUUGUAUUUGUUGAAAAGAGAUGGCAGGCGGGCUUGCCGAAUUGAUGGCAUGAAGAUAAGGAAUAAGAAAAAAAGAACAAAACACGGGUGGUGGGGUCCACUAAUUGAUUAUGGUCUUUGAUAUUUUGUGUGGUGAACAAUUAUUGAGUUAGUGGUUUUGCCUAUAAAAAAAAAAAAAAUAAAAAAAUAAAAAAUAAAAAAAAGAAGAAAAUUAGAGUGAAGACAAAGAGAGUGCACAAAGAGGGCCGAGAUUGAGGAGAGACAGAGAGGAAACGAGAGUUGCAGAGGAGGCAGAAAGCUUGGAGACUUGAUGAUUCAGUGAGAAAAAUUCUUUUUUUUUUUUUUUCAGGGGUACGAAAAAGAGGUGGCGGACGACGAUCCACCCCAAGUUUAGACGAGAUUGGAGGCCUAUUUUAUUUUGAUAUCUUUUGUAUUAGAACUCUAAUAUUUUUUAAAUGUAAUCUUAACUAUUUUGUGAAACUUUAAUUUAAUUAGUAUAAUGUUGUAAAUUAUGGACUUUUAAAUGUUAGCUAUAUUUUAUUGAAUAUAACUUAAUGUCACUAAAGUGUGUUCCUUAUUUGGAUGAGAUGAAGGAACGGGACUUUGUAUAUGUAUGUAAUAAUUUUAGGAAUUUGGUAUAAUAUUUGUAUUAUGCGUUGGGACAUAAUAGAUUAGUUUUAAGGCCAAUUGAGGCCAUUGCAUUUUCAUGUGUUUCAACAGAUUGUAAAGGGACUUUUUCUGUGGAUAUCGUGUCGAAAUUUUAUAUAUUUUAUUAUUAUUAUUUUGGUAUCCUGAUGGGUCGUUACAAAUUUAGUAUCAGAACAAUGGUUCGAAAACCAGUAGGACGACGGGUAGAGGCCUACCUAGGGUUGUGUGGAAGGUGGAUUGCAUUGUUUAUGUACUUAUGUGUUAAAGUGUUUGUUACCUGAGAAACAUGUUUACUUGCUUAAUUGUUUAUGUAUUUACAGUUUUAAAA